GGUUAAAUAAUGAUGUGAUUUGAAACAGGUGAUGUCAACAGGUGAUUGUAAUUAUGAUUUGGUACAAAAGCAGCAUCCAAGAAAGGUCUAGUCCUUUAGGAGUAAAGAUGGGCCGAGGAUCGCCAGUUUGCCAACAAAUACGUGAGAAAAUUAUUGAAAUGUUUUAAAACAAUGUUCCUCAAAGAAAGAUAGGAAGACAUUUGCUUAUUUCACCUUCAACAGUGCAUAACAUAAUUAAAAGAUUCAAGGAAUGUGGAGGAAUUUCAGUGCGUAAAGGACAAGGGCGCAAGCCUAAGCUGAACAACCGUGAUCUCCGAUCCCUCAGGCGGCACUGCAUCAAGAAUCGUCAUUCAUUUAUAAGCGAUAUCACCACAUGGGCUCAGGACUACUUUGGCAAACCUUUGUCAAGUACCACAAUACGUAGUUACAUCCACAAAUGCCAGUUAAAACUGUACUGUGCCAAAAGGAAGCCCUAUGUUAACAGUGUCCAGAAGCGCCGUCGACUUCUCUGGGCUCGGAGGCAUCUGGGAUGGACCAUCACACAGUGGAAACGUGUACUGUGGUCAGAUGAAUCAGUAUUUCAGGUAUUUUUUGGGAGAAAUGGACGCCGUGUGCUCCGGACCAAAGAAGAAAAGGAUCAUCCAGACUGUUACCAGCAACAAGUCCAAAAGCCAGGGUCUGUCAUGGUAUGGGUUUGUGUCAGUGCCCUUGGCAAAGGUAACUUGCACUUCUGUGAUGGCACCAUUAAUGCUGAAAAUUACAUAAAGAUUUUGGAGCACAAUAUGCUGCCUUCAAGAAGACAUCUUUUCCAGGGACGUCCAUGCAUAUUUCAACAAGAUAAUGCAAAACCACAUUCUGCACACAUUACA
This is a long non-coding RNA of Sander lucioperca (pikeperch), 869 nucleotides long. RefSeq lists it as uncharacterized. The record is from RefSeq and is a predicted model, not a curated record. Lineage: Eukaryota; Metazoa; Chordata; Actinopteri; Perciformes; Percidae. The transcript has 3 exons.